CUACGGAGGGUGCAAGCGUUACUCGGAAUCACUGGGCGUAAAGCGCGCGCAGGCGGCUAUUUAAGUUGGAUGUGAAAGCCUACGGCUCAACCGUAGAACUGCAUCCAAAACUAUUUAGCUAGAGUGUGGGAGAGGAAGAUGGAAUUAGUUGUGUAGGGGUAAAAUCCGUAGAGAUAACUAGGAAUACCAAAAGCGAAGGCAAUCUUCUGGAACACUACUGACGCUGAGGCGCGAAAGCGUGGGUAGCAAACAGGAUUAGAUACCCUAGUAGUCC
RNAcentral lists this ribosomal RNA (274 nucleotides) under uncultured bacterium. RNAcentral's name for it is "partial 16S ribosomal RNA". It matches the Rfam family "Bacterial small subunit ribosomal RNA", at positions 523 to 796 of the family's 1533-position model. The record is from RNAcentral.